Molecule: ribosomal RNA, 464 nt
Filed under: uncultured Planctomycetota bacterium
Lineage: Bacteria; Pseudomonadati; Planctomycetota
Description: bacterial SSU rRNA
Rfam family: Bacterial small subunit ribosomal RNA
Source: RNAcentral
UUCGCAAUGCCCGAAAGGGUGACGAAGCGACGCCGCGUGGGUGAGGAAGGCCUUCGGGUUGUAAAGCCCUGUCAGGAGUUAAGAAAUAUAAGUGCGUUAAUACCGCAUUUAUUUGACGAAGGCUCCAAAGGAAGCCACGGCUAACUCUGUGCCAGCAGCCGCGGUAAUACAGAGGUGGCAAGCGUUGUUCGGAAUUAUUGGGCGUAAAGAGCACGUAGGUGGGUUUGUAAGUCAGAUGUGAAAGCCUUCUGUUCAACGGAAGAAUUGCAUCUGAAACUGCGAGUCUUGAGUGUAGGAGGGGAGAAUGGAACUUCUGGUGGAGCGGUGAAAUGCGUAGAUAUCAGAAGGAACGCCGGCGGCGAAAGCGAUUCUCUGGCCUAUUACUGACACUCAGUGUGCGAAAGCUAGGGGAGCAAACGGGAUUAGAUACCCCGGUAGUCCUAGCCGUAAACGAUGGGCACUAA